This 425-nucleotide ribosomal RNA is filed under the name uncultured bacterium. RNAcentral describes it as "bacterial SSU rRNA". It matches the Rfam family "Bacterial small subunit ribosomal RNA", at positions 354 to 796 of the family's 1533-position model. The record is from RNAcentral.
GUGGGGAAUCUUAGACAAUGGGCGCAAGCCUGAUCUAGCCAUGCCGCGUGAGCGAUGAAGGCCUUAGGGUUGUAAAGCUCUUUCAGCUGGGAAGAUAAUGACGGUACCAGCAGAAGAAGCCCCGGCUAACUCCGUGCCAGCAGCCGCGGUAAUACGGAGGGGGCUAGCGUUGUUCGGAAUUACUGGGCGUAAAGCGCACGUAGGCGGAUCAGAAAGUCAGAGGUGAAAUCCCAGGGCUCAACCUUGGAACUGCCUUUGAAACUCCUGAUCUUGAGGUCGAGAGAGGUGAGUGGAAUUCCGAGUGUAGAGGUGAAAUUCGUAGAUAUUCGGAGGAACACCAGUGGCGAAGGCGGCUCACUGGCUCGAUACUGACGCUGAGGUGCGAAAGCGUGGGGAGCAAACAGGAUUAGAUACCCGAGUAGUCC